Molecule: ribosomal RNA, 416 nt
Filed under: Pichia occidentalis
Lineage: Eukaryota; Fungi; Ascomycota; Pichiomycetes; Pichiales; Pichiaceae
Description: eukaryotic LSU rRNA
Rfam family: 5.8S ribosomal RNA (bases 97-249)
Source: RNAcentral
GGGUAUAAAACAUUCCCCGCGAUAAUCUUCAACGUGCGUGAGCGCAGCAAACACGAAAAAACUGUAGUACGAGAGUCAAAACAAACCAAAAAACAAAACUUUCAACAACGGAUCUCUUGGUUCUCGCAUCGAUGAAGAGCGCAGCGAAAUGCGAUACCUAGUGUGAAUUGCAGCCAUCGUGAAUCAUCGAGUUCUUGAACGCACAUUGCGCCCUCUGGUAUUCCGGAGGGCAUGCCUGUUUGAGCGUCGUUUCCUUCUUGCUUGCGAGCAGAAAUGGGGGGGCCCUGGCAUUGGGGCCGCUCUGAAAAGAAACGUUGCGGGCGAAGCGAACUAUGAGUAGGACGCUUGGCCGCCGAACUUAAUACAUAAGCUCGACCUCAAAUCAGGUAGGAAUACCCGCUGAACUUAAGAAUAUA